This 301-nucleotide ribosomal RNA is filed under the name uncultured Methanocellales archaeon. RNAcentral describes it as "bacterial SSU rRNA". It matches the Rfam family "Archaeal small subunit ribosomal RNA", at positions 1017 to 1321 of the family's 1478-position model. The record is from RNAcentral. Lineage: Archaea; Methanobacteriati; Methanobacteriota; Methanomicrobia; Methanocellales.
UUAACCGUCGACAGUCAGGUAACGAGCGAGACCCAUGUCCACUGUUGCUAACACGUCCGCUGGGAUGGUGAGUACACGGUGGAGACCGCUGGCGCUAAGUCAGAGGAAGGGGUGGUCGACGGUAGGUCAGUAUGCCCCGAAUAUCCCGGGCUACACGCGGGCUACAAUGGACAGGACAAUGGGCUACGACCCUGAAAGGGGGUGUCAAUCUCUUAAACCUGUCCUUAGUUCGGAUUGAGGGCUGAAACUCGCCCUCAUGAAGAUGGAAUCCGUAGUAUCGCAUCAACACAGUGACCGGAGA